RNAcentral lists this ribosomal RNA (594 nucleotides) under Triticum aestivum (bread wheat). Its description in RNAcentral is "partial small subunit ribosomal RNA". Lineage: Eukaryota; Viridiplantae; Streptophyta; Magnoliopsida; Poales; Poaceae. The record is from RNAcentral.
AUGGCGGAGCUACGGCCUCGCCCUUCCUGCCGGCUUGCCCUCCUAGCCUGCCUGUGCCUCUUCCUGCUGGCCGCCGCGCCGCCCCUCGCGCUCGCCCGCGCGGCGCCCGCCGCCGACUCGAUACACAAGCUACUGCGCUCGCACGGCCUCCCCGGCGGGCUGCUCCCGCGCAGCGUGGAGUCGUACACCCUGGACGAGGGAAACGGCCUGCUCGAGGCGCGGCUAUCGGCGCCGUGCUACGCGACGUACGACAACGGCGACCUGGCUUUCUUCGACACCGUGGUGCGAGGGAAUCUCAGCUUCGGCGCGCUCCGCGGCUGUGAGGGGCUGGCUCAGGAGGAGCUCUUCAUGUGGCUCCCGGUGAAGGGCAUCCUCGUCUCCGACCCUGGCUCCGGCGUCAUCCUGUUCGACAUCGGCUACGCGCACAAGAGGCUCUCAAGGUCGCUCUUCGAGGAGCCGCCGGACUGCAAGCCGUCUGCCAGCACCAGUAUGGGCGCCGUCGAAGCCGCCAGGUGGAGGGAUAGUCCAGGUGUUCCUGGGCUGAGGGAGAGGAUAGAGGCAGAAGGAGGAGAAGAGCACCUGGACCAGAGGUGA